AUGAUACCAGCAGCACAUAUACUAAUGUUGGAACCAUAGAGAAGAUUAGCCUGGCCCCAGUGCAAGGAAGACAUACAAGCAUUCUGUAUUUUU
Molecule: small nuclear RNA, 93 nt
Organism: Dipodomys ordii (Ord's kangaroo rat)
Lineage: Eukaryota; Metazoa; Chordata; Mammalia; Rodentia; Heteromyidae
Source: Ensembl